Molecule: ribosomal RNA, 486 nt
Filed under: Antongilia laciniata
Lineage: Eukaryota; Metazoa; Arthropoda; Insecta; Phasmatodea; Bacillidae
Description: partial large subunit ribosomal RNA
Rfam family: Bacterial large subunit ribosomal RNA
Source: RNAcentral
AUAAAUUUUAAUGGCCGCGGUAUUUUGACCGUGCAAAGGUAGCAUAAUCAUUAGUCUAUUAAUUGUGGACUUGAAUGAAUGGUUGGACGAAAUAUUAACUGUCUUAUUUUUAAGAUUUGAAUUUAAAUUUUAAGUUAAAAUGCUUAAAUUUUUUUAUAGGACGAGAAGACCCUAUAGAUCUUUAUUAUAUUUUAUAUUAAUCUAUUUGGAUAGUUUAUUUUUAUUAAUAUUAAUUAUUUUUUGGUUGGGGUGACAUGGAGAUAAAAUUAACUCUUUAUUAUUUUAUUCAUUAAUUUUUGUAUAAUUGACCUUUUAUUAUUGUUAAAAGAUAUAGAUACCUUAGGGAUAACAGCGUAAUUCUUUUUGAGAGUUCAUAUUGACAAGAGAGAUUGCGACCUCGAUGUUGGAUUAAGAUUAUAGAUUGGUGUAGUAGCUAAUUUAUUAGGUCUGUUCGACCUUUAAAUUCUUACAUGAUCUGAGUUCAAA